UAUUGGACAAUGGGGGGAACCCUUAUCCAGCCAUGCCGCGUGUGUGAAGAAGGCCCUAUGGUUGUAAAGCACUUUAAGCGAGGAGGAGGCUACUUUAGUUAAUACCUAUAGAUAGUGGACGUUACUCGCAGAAUAAGCACCGGCUAACUCUGUGCCAGCAGCCGCGGUAAUACAGAGGGUGCGAGCGUUAAUCAGAUUUACUGGGCGUAAAGCGUGCGUAGGCGGCUUAUUAAGUCGGAUGUGAAAUCCCCGAGCUUAACUUGGGAAUUGCAUUCGAUACUGGUGAGCUAGAGUAUGGGAGAGGAUGGUAGAAUUCCAGGUGUAGCGGUGAAAUGCGUAGAGAUCUGGAGGAAUACCGAUGGCGAAGGCAGCCAUCUGGCCUAAUACUGACGCUGAGGUACGAAAGCAUGGGGAGCAAACAGG
This 423-nucleotide ribosomal RNA is filed under the name uncultured bacterium. Its description in RNAcentral is "bacterial SSU rRNA". It matches the Rfam family "Bacterial small subunit ribosomal RNA", at positions 362 to 776 of the family's 1533-position model. The record is from RNAcentral.